UGGGGAAUAUUGCACAAUGGAGGGAACUCUGAUGCAGCAACGCCGCGUGCGGGAUGACGGCCUUCGGGUUGUAAACCGCUUUCAGCCAUGACGAAGCUUUUGUGACGGUAGUGGUAGAAGAAGCACCGGCUAACUACGUGCCAGCAGCCGCGGUGAUACGUAGGGUGCGAGCGUUGUCCGGAAUUAUUGGGCGUAAAGGGUGCGCAGGCGGCUUUACAAGUUGGAUGUGAAAUAUUGUGGCUCAACCACAAACGUGCAUCCAAAACUGCAAAGGUUGAGUUAAGGGGGGGUAGGGGGAAUUCCGGGUGUGGCGGUGGAAUGCGUAGGUAUCAGGGGGGAUACCGGUGGCGAAGGCGACUUACUGGGCUUAAACUGACGCUGAGGCACGAAGGCGUGGGGGGCAAACAGG
This 409-nucleotide ribosomal RNA is filed under the name Fusobacteriota bacterium. RNAcentral describes it as "Fusobacteria bacterium partial 16S ribosomal RNA". It matches the Rfam family "Bacterial small subunit ribosomal RNA", at positions 355 to 776 of the family's 1533-position model. Lineage: Bacteria; Fusobacteriati; Fusobacteriota. The record is from RNAcentral.